Molecule: ribosomal RNA, 452 nt
Filed under: uncultured bacterium
Lineage: Bacteria
Description: bacterial SSU rRNA
Rfam family: Bacterial small subunit ribosomal RNA
Source: RNAcentral
AACGAACGCUGGCGGCAUGCCUAACACAUGCAAGUCGAACGAGACCUUCGGGUCUAGUGGCGCACGGGUGCGUAACGCGUGGGAAUCUGCCCUUGGGUUCGGAAUAACAGCGAGAAAUUGCUGCUAAUACCGGAUGAUGACGUAAGUCCAAAGAUUUAUCGCCCAAGGAUGAGCCCGCGUAGGAUUAGCUAGUUGGUGAGGUAAAGGCUCACCAAGGCGACGAUCCUUAGCUGGUCUGAGAGGAUGAUCAGCCACACUGGGACUGAGACACGGCCCAGACUCCUACGGGAGGCAGCAGUGGGGAAUAUUGGACAAUGGGCGAAAGCCUGAUCCAGCAAUGCCGCGUGAGUGAUGAAGGCCUUAGGGUUGUAAAGCUCUUUUUACCCGGGAUGAUAAUGACAGUACCGGGAGAAUAAGACUCCGGCUAACUCCGUGCCAGCAGCCACGGUAAU